GUGCAGCAGUCGCGAAAACUUUACAAUGUGCGAAAGCACGAUAAGGGAACUCUGAGUGCCUCCUAAGGAGGCUGUUCAGGUGUCUAAAAAGCACCUGAAGGAAGGGCUGGGUAAGACCGGUGCCAGCCGCCGCGGUAACACCGGCAGCCCAAGUGGUAGCCACGUUUAUUGGGUCUAAAGCGUCCGUAGCCGGCUGGGUAAGUUCCUUGGGAAAUUUGGCUGCUUAACAGUCAAGCUUUCAGGGAAUACUGCCCGGCUUGGGACCGGGAGAGGUCAGAGGUACUCCAGGGGUAGGGGUGAAAUCCAUUAAUCCUUGGGGGACCACCGGUAGCGAAGGCGUCUGACCAGACCGGGUCCGACGGUGAGGGACGAA
This 373-nucleotide ribosomal RNA is filed under the name uncultured microorganism. Its description in RNAcentral is "bacterial SSU rRNA". It matches the Rfam family "Archaeal small subunit ribosomal RNA", at positions 330 to 708 of the family's 1478-position model. The record is from RNAcentral.